This 233-nucleotide ribosomal RNA is filed under the name uncultured Lactobacillus sp. RNAcentral describes it as "partial 16S ribosomal RNA". It matches the Rfam family "Bacterial small subunit ribosomal RNA", at positions 129 to 355 of the family's 1533-position model. Lineage: Bacteria; Bacillati; Bacillota; Bacilli; Lactobacillales; Lactobacillaceae. The record is from RNAcentral.
CCCAAGAGAUCGGGAUAACACCUGGAAACAGAUGCUAAUACCGGAUAACAACAGAUGAUGCCUAUCAACUGUUUAAAAGAUGGUUCUGCUAUCACUCUUGGAUGGACCUGCGGUGCAUUAGCUAGUUGGUAGGGUAACGGCCUACCAAUGCGAUGAUGCAUAGCCGAGUUGAGAGACUGAUCGGCCACAUUGGGACUGAGACACGGCCCAAACUCCUACGGGAUGCAGCAGUA